AGAGCUCAAAUUUAAAAUCUGUCAGUCUUUGGCUGACCGAGUUGUAAAUUAGAGAAGUGCUAUCAGCGCUGGCCUGUGCAAAAGUCUCUUGGAAAAGAGCAUCAUAGAGGGUGACAAUCCCGUCUUUGGUACAGAGCUCCAGGGCUUCCAUGAUGUGCUCUCAAUGAGUCGAGUUGUUUGGGAAUGCAGCUCUAAAUGGGUGGUAAAUUCCAUCUAAAGCUAAAUAUUGGCGAGAGACCGAUAGCGAA
Molecule: ribosomal RNA, 248 nt
Filed under: Clavaria sp. 5 CRJH-2017
Lineage: Eukaryota; Fungi; Basidiomycota; Agaricomycetes; Agaricales; Clavariaceae
Description: partial 28S ribosomal RNA
Rfam family: Eukaryotic large subunit ribosomal RNA
Source: RNAcentral